CGGACUGGACCGAGCCGGUUCCGGUGCUGUGUUUGGUGAGAGACACGUCUCCGGGGCAGCACCGAGUCCUCUGGACUAUCGGCGCCGAGGCAGACGCGCCGGGCAGCGAGGAGGAGGGAGAGAUCGAACCCGACGGGUCCUAUAGCGUGCGCAGCUACGUCACAAUCAGCGCGGAUCAAUGGAACAGCGGCGCUGUAAAGUGCAAGGUUUACAACAACAUCACCAACGUCACAGAAAAAGUCUCCGCGUCACUCCAAAGGCAAGAUUGCGUUCCUGUGUUGUUUUACGGACUGCCCGCCGUUUUCCUGCUAAUUCUGAUCGUGGUGUCUGUGGCGUGUAUUUACAGAAGACUUCAUAAAACUAAAACCGAUCACAAGUCCAGCGACGCGCCCUGCCGUCCCCAACGCCCCGCCCGACACAGAACAGUCCAGGAUUACUCGACGGAGUACGCAUCGCUCAAUCUGUGACGGGCUCCACAAAGCAGCGCGCUCAUCUUUCAAUGCAGCCGUGGAGAUGUUUUUCAUGUGCAGAGAGAGAGAGAGAGAGAGAGAGAGAGAGAGAGAGAGAGAGAGAGAGAGAGAGAGAGAGAGAGAGAGAGAGAGAGAGAGAGAGAGAGGACUGUGCUGUAUGUUUUAGAACCAAGGUCAAUGUCAAUUCCUGUUUUUCAAUUCACUGUAUACAUACACGCGUAACGGUAAUUGCAAUGUCUUUGUCAUGUCCAUGUUAUUAAUCAUUGUUACAAUGUACUUAAUGUGGAAAUCUUUGUGCACAAUUACAAUGUACUUGCAUAUAUCGCGCAAAAAACAUCUACACCAAACACACUGUAACUAUGAACAAUAACAUUUUAAUGAUGUGUCAGCCCACAUGCAUUUACCAAAUACACAGUAAUUACAGACUCCAUGUAACGUGUUACCCUUUUAAGGAAAACAAACAAAAGAAAACAGCCGAAGUCAAAUUCCAGCCUGUCAUGUUGUGCGCCUACCAGGAAUCUGUUUCUUUGUAUUCCAAGAAUGUCUCUUGUAUAUUUAUUAUUUUGCCUUGCUGUAAUAUUAAUAGUCACUGUAUUUGAAUAAUUGUACAUUUAAAGAAAUAUAAUAAAAAAUGUGAAAAAGGAUUUGAACAGA
This is a long non-coding RNA of Acipenser ruthenus (sterlet), 1124 nucleotides long. RefSeq lists it as uncharacterized. The transcript has 4 exons. NCBI's taxonomy places the organism in Eukaryota, Metazoa, Chordata, Actinopteri, Acipenseriformes, Acipenseridae. The record is from RefSeq and is a predicted model, not a curated record.